RNAcentral lists this ribosomal RNA (890 nucleotides) under uncultured bacterium. RNAcentral's name for it is "bacterial SSU rRNA". It matches the Rfam family "Bacterial small subunit ribosomal RNA", at positions 29 to 916 of the family's 1533-position model. The record is from RNAcentral.
AUGAACGCUGGCGGCGUGCCUAAUACAUGCAAGUCGAACGAAUCUUCUUCGGAAGAUGAGUGGCGAACGGGUGAGUAAUACAUAGGUAACCUGCCCCUGUGCGGGGGAUAACAGGAGGAAACUCCUGCUAGUACCGCAUAGCCAUGAGCACCGCAUGGAGCUCAUGCCAAAUAUCCUUCAGGGGAUAGCGCAGGGAUGGACCUAUGGCGCAUUAGCUAGUUGGCGGGGCAACGGCCCACCAAGGCAACGAUGCGUAGCCGGCCUGAGAGGGCGGACGGCCACAUUGGGACUGAGACACGGCCCAGACUCCUACGGGAGGCAGCAGUAGGGAAUUUUCGGCAAUGGGGGAAACCCUGACCGAGCAACGCCGCGUGAGCGAAGAAGGCCUUCGGGUCGUAAAGCUCUGUUGUAAAGGAAGAACGUCGCAUGCAGGAAAUGGUGUGCGAGUGACGGUACUUUACCAGAAAGCCACGGCUAACUACGUGCCAGCAGCCGCGGUAAUACGUAGGUGGCGAGCGUUAUCCGGAAUCAUUGGGCGUAAAGAGGGAGCAGGCGGCCGCAAGGGUCUGUGGUGAAAGACCGAAGCUAAACUUCGGUAAGCCAUGGAAACCGGGCGGCUAGAGUGCGGAAGAGGAUCGUGGAAUUCCAUGUGUAGCGGUGAAAUGCGUAGAUAUAUGGAGGAACACCAGUGGCGAAGGCGACGGUCUGGGCCGCAACUGACGCUCAUUCCCGAAAGCGUGGGGAGCAAAUAGGAUUAGAUACCCUAGUAGUCCACGCCGUAAACGAUGGUCACUAAGUGUCGGGGGUCAAACCCCGGUGCUGCAGUCAACGCAAUAAGUGACCCGCCUGAGUAGUACGUUCGCAAGAAUGAAACUCAAAUGAAUUGACGG